GCAAAUCAAUAUAAAUUGAUUUAAUAUUUAUUUAUUAAUUUUUUUUUUUUUAUUUAUAAAUUAUUAAAAAUAAUUAUAUAAUUUAAUGUUUUAGUAAUGUUUAAUGAAAAAAUAAUUUUAAUAAUAGUGUAUUAUGUAUUGUGAAAGAUUAUUGAAAUAUUUUGAAAAAUUUUUAUUAUAAAAGAAAAUUUUAUUUAUUGUACCUUGUGUAUCAGGGUUUAUCAAAUAAUUAAUAAUUAUUUAUUAAUCUCGAUUUUAUAAGAGUUAACAAUUUAAAAAAGAUAAUGUGUCAAAAUUAUUUUUAAUAAAUUGUUAGAAAUGAAAUGUUAUUCGUUUAUAAAGGUAUCUAGUUUUUUUAGAAAUAAAUUUAAUUUACAAAUUUUUAAUUUUUUAUUUAUUUAUUAAAAUAAAAAAAUUAUUAAUUUGAAUAUCUUAAGGGAUAAGCUUUAAGAUAAAUUUUUAAAAAUUAAUAAUUAUUAUAUAAAAUGUAUGUGUAGAAUUAGCAAUCAUUUAUAAGUUUGUUAUAAAUUAUUUUAUAAUUUGUAUUAUUUAUUAAUAUUUUAAGUUUUUAUAAAAAUUUUUUUAUUAAUUUUAUAUAAAAAGUAAUAAUGAUAAAAUUAGUAUAUUUUUUUUUGUUUAAAUAAAUUUUAAUGAUAAGUUUAUGUAAAGAACUCGGCAAAUAUUAUACUCGCCUGUUUAACAAAAACAUGUCUUUUUGAGUUAUUUUUAAAGUCUGACCUGCCCACUGAAAUUUUUUAAAUGGCAGCAGUAUUCUAACUGUGCAAAGGUAGCAUAANCAUUAGUCUUUUAAUUGAAGGCUGGUAUGAAUGGUUGGACGAAGUAUAAUCUGUUUCAUUUAAAUUUAUAAUAGAAUUUUAUAUUUUAGUAAAAAAGCUAAAAUUUUAUUAAAAGACGAGAAGACCCUAUAAAUCUUUAUAUUUAUUGUUAUUUAAAUUUUUUAGAUUAUUUUUAUUUUUAUAAUAAUAAAUAUUUUGUUGGGGUGAUGUUAAAAUUUAAUAAACUUUUAAUAAUUAAAAGUCAUUAAUUUAUGAUUUAUUGAUCCGUUAAUAACGAUUAUAAGAUUAAGUUACUUUAGGGAUAACAGCGUAAUUUUUUUGGAGAGUUCUUAUCGAUAAAAAAGUUUGCGACCUCGAUGUUGGAUUAAGAGAUAUUUUUAGGUGUAGCNGCUUAAAUAUAAAGUCUGUUCGACUUU
RNAcentral lists this ribosomal RNA (1213 nucleotides) under Tomoplagia incompleta. RNAcentral describes it as "partial 16S ribosomal RNA". The record is from RNAcentral. Lineage: Eukaryota; Metazoa; Arthropoda; Insecta; Diptera; Tephritidae.